This 164-nucleotide ribosomal RNA is filed under the name uncultured Paracoccaceae bacterium. RNAcentral describes it as "uncultured Rhodobacteraceae bacterium partial 16S ribosomal RNA". It matches the Rfam family "Bacterial small subunit ribosomal RNA", at positions 343 to 524 of the family's 1533-position model. Lineage: Bacteria; Pseudomonadati; Pseudomonadota; Alphaproteobacteria; Rhodobacterales; Paracoccaceae. The record is from RNAcentral.
GGGAGGCAGCAGUGGGGAAUCUUGGACAAUGGGGGAAACCCUGAUCCAGCCAUGCCGCGUGAGCGAUGAAGGCCUUAGGGUUGUAAAGCUCUUUCACCGGUGAAGAUAAUGACGGUAGCCGGAGAAGAAGCCCCGGCUAACUCCGUGCCAGCAGCCGCGGUAAU